UUACUUUUUAAUCGUUUUGCAAACAUCUCUAGCUUUUAAUCUGACCGAGUAAUGCGUUGUCUCAACUAUUUAUAAUCAGACAUGCCAAAGUCUAGAAAUUUUCCACAAUAGAAAACCAAGAUAUCUUUCGUACAAAACUUAUAGAUAAAAUACAAAUGCACACAUUCCAGAUAGUACUUUCCAAGAUUUGGCUUUUGCUUUUGAAGAGGAAAUCUUCAACUCUCAAGUGGAUAUGAGAUUUAAGAAAACUCUUGAGAAUAACUAUCAUAAAAAACUCAAGAAACUCUUCAACGGAUAUGUACUUUUACAAAUUACAUCAGUUUUAUUUGUAAAUCAUAUCUAUGUAUAUAUAUGAACUUUGAUGUACAUCACUUAUCACACAACAAGCGAUAAAAUUAUUAGGACUUGAUAAAAUAAAUCUAAAUAGAGAAGAAUACUUCUAUUUUUAAAUUUCACAAUGAACUAAUAUAUAUACAAAGAGAGUACCAAUGGCACUAACUACAGAAAACAACCAAAAUGUAGGCCCCAUAUUCAUCACUUGUUUUAAAUCAUCAAAAAAUUUAGUUACAAUAAAAGCUAGUAACCAAUUUAAAACACAAGCACUACUCGCAGCUACACCUUUUACCUCUGGUGCAAAUAUUUCUCCCAUCAUCAUCCAAGGAAUAGGACCAAAACCAAUACUAAACAUAACAAUAAAGAUACAUAUAGAUAUUAAAGGUAACCAUUGAAUUGCACUAACAUCCACUCUAAUUUCUGUAAGAUAGAAAUACACCCCAAGAGCUAAAGUUGUUAAGCACAUGAAUAUUGCUGAUGCCAUUAACAAUAUUCUUCUACCUAAACGAUCUACAAUCAAUGUGCCUAUAAAAACAGCUAAUACUUGUAUUAUACCUAUAAUAAUAAUGGAAUAACUAUUAUCCAUACCACUACCAGUUUCAUUAAAAAUGGUACUGGCAUAAAAAAUAACAACAUUUACACCACUUAAUUGUUGAAAAAACAUGAGGCCAUACGAAAUCACGAAACUUCUCUUGGUAGCUUUAGAUUUAAGUAAUACGAAUAAAGAAGUUGUCUUUUUACGAGUUUCUUCUAGUGCUUCUCGGUGUACACGUAAUUCGUUCUCUACAUUGUAUUGACUACCACGUAAUUUAGUUAAACUUUUUCUUGCAGCUUCUUCAUUGCCUUUUUUUAAAUAAUAGAUGGGUGUUUCUGGCAUGAACAUAAAAAUUCCAAAAAAUAUAAAUGGCACAACAGCUGAUAUAAUAGACACCACACGCAUAUCUACAGAACUUCCUAAAAUGUAUGUUAAUGCAAUGCCUACUGUAAGAAGUAACUGAAAAUAAGAUCCUAAACUGCCACGAAUCUCAUUUUCAGCUAUCUCUGCUGUGUACAUAGGUGCAGCUACACAAAAAGCUCCAACACUAAAACCCAUAAUAAAUCUACCAAUAAAAAACAUAGCUACAGAAUUGGCCAAAAUUAUAAGCAGCCAACCUAUGGUAAAGGGUAUUACCAUUAGAAGCAUGGUAUAUUUUCUUCCUAUUACAUCAGCAAGAAUUCCACACCAGCAACAGCAGUCCAUGCCAAUACCAUACCAACUGCUAAUGCCCCAAGAGUUGAUGAUAAACUGGCAAUAUACUGGGGCAACUUUUUAGCAGGUACAUCUUCAGUAUUGGAAACUAAUGUUUCUUGUGAAAUGCCAACGUUCUUUUCAUUCAUCUUCAAUAUUAGAAAUCACUUCAUCAAAUGUCUAAAAAUAAUUAAACAAAAUAAUAAUUUUUUGUGCAAAAUAAUCAAUUCAUUAAUUAAAUUUCAUUUAAAGUUACUUUAAUCUGUUUAGUUUUGUUGAAAUUUAUGGCUAUGCUAAUUUUUAUUUCAUGUGAAAUCUAUUUGUUUAUCACUUAUAUUAUCAAAAAUUACACUAUUAUUAAAAAUAUAUUCACGAUAAUAGAAAAUAAAAAAAUAUUUUUUAUCACUGUAUGUUAUCACUAUGUUUUGCUACGUACCGUGCUGGUUAAAUAAAAGUUUAAAUGACUACUUGAAACGUUAAAAGAAAGUGUUUCGUUAUUGAAGUCCGAUCGUAUAUUAAAAUAUCUAUUACUUGUGGACACUCGGCAAUAAUCACUACCUUGAAAGUAUUUGUUUCUUAUCAGCGAUAUGACUAAAGAGCGAUUAAUCUCGGUUUAAUUGACAGGAACUAAUACAUAUACAAAGAGAGUACCAAUAGCACAGAUUACAGAAAACAACCAAUAUGUAGGCCCCACAUUAAUCGCUUGUUUUAAAUCAUCAAAAAAUUUAGUUACAAUAAAGGCUAGCAACCAAUUUAAAACACAAGCACCACUAGCAGCUACACCUUUUACCUCUGGUGGAAAUACUUCUCCCAUCAUCAUCCAUGGGAGAGGACCAAAACCGACACUAAACAUAAUACCAAAGAGACAUAUAGAUAUUAAAGCUAUCUCUGCUAUGUACAUUGGUAUGGUUACACAAAAAGCUCCAACAGUAAACCCAAGAAUAAGUCUACCAAUAAAAAACAUAGCUAGAGAAUUGGCAAAAAUUAGAAGCAGCCAACCUAAG
This is a non-coding RNA of Osmia lignaria (orchard mason bee), 2565 nucleotides long. Lineage: Eukaryota; Metazoa; Arthropoda; Insecta; Hymenoptera; Megachilidae. The record is from RefSeq and is a predicted model, not a curated record.